This 119-nucleotide ribosomal RNA is filed under the name Pelobates cultripes (western spadefoot toad). Lineage: Eukaryota; Metazoa; Chordata; Amphibia; Anura; Pelobatidae. The record is from RNAcentral.
GCCUACGGCCAUACCACCCUGAACACGCCCGAUCUCGUCUGAUCUCGGAAGCUAAGCAGGGUUGGGCCUGGUUAGUACUUGGACGGGAGACCGCCUGGGAAUACCACGUGUAGUAGGCU